UAGGAAUCUCCACAAUGGACGAAAGUCUGAUGGAGCAACGCCGCGUGAGUGAAGAAGGGUUUCGGCUCGUAAAGCUCUGUUGGUAGUGAAGAAAGAUAGAGGUAGUAACUGGCCUUUAUUUGACGGUAAUUACUUAGAAAGUCACGGCUAACUACGUGCC
Molecule: ribosomal RNA, 160 nt
Filed under: uncultured bacterium
Lineage: Bacteria
Description: partial 16S ribosomal RNA
Rfam family: Bacterial small subunit ribosomal RNA
Source: RNAcentral